Long non-coding RNA from Ailuropoda melanoleuca (giant panda), 2134 nucleotides. RefSeq lists it as uncharacterized. The transcript has 2 exons. NCBI's taxonomy places the organism in Eukaryota, Metazoa, Chordata, Mammalia, Carnivora, Ursidae. The record is from RefSeq and is a predicted model, not a curated record.
GAGCAAAGCAGAAUGAGAGAGAGAACACCUGUGUGUGCAUUAUUAAGCAUUUCAAAACCAGAACCGUGGGGACACCAAACAGGUGUGGGGUCCUUCUGAGCAUAUGCUGCAUCCCCAAGAAGCCACCCCUGCUUGCACACUUGAAUUUGGAUAUGUGUGUGUUAGCGUUGCUUUUGUACGUGGUGCGUCUGCGUGUGCGUGGACACAGUGGACAUUUGCCCUGGGCACCGCGUUCAUAUGCACCUGUCUGUACAAACGAGCCCAUAGGCGGUGGUAGAGCUCUUCGGUUCUGACCUCAAGGCCAGCAGGCACAAAUCUCCUUCCCUCAGAUCUGGAAUGUUCUAUCCCACCAGGACCCUGACCUCCUCCAGAGCGCCAGCAACAUUCACCCGAACCUCCUGUGGCCCACAGCGGGCAGCACAUCUCAGAUCCCGGAGGCCUGCCCCGGAGGCCCCAGAGCCCCGUGCUGCACCCUCUCCCCCCAUUCUGUCCUGACCCUCUCUUUCCCUUGUAAUAUGCUCAUCUGUGUUCCCCAUUAUCACCUCUCAGCCUGGGAGCCCUCUAAGCAGAACAGCUCAUCCCCCUUUCUCCCAUGGGCAAGCACCCAGCACAUAGUAGGUGCUCAGUGAAUACCAGCCCACUGGGAGGAGAUUGGGAAUAGGAGAGGCCCAGGCCUGCCUCCUGGCCAUUGUGAAUACCCCCCCUGGGCGGGUCACCCUUUUGCUGGUAAACCAGGGAAGCUAGCAGCACAGGGCAGUGAGCGGGAGGCUGGGCGAGCCCUCCCUCCACCUGCCUGGUACGGUAUCAGACAUGAAACUCAUCCCCCUGUCCCAAGGGCAGGCUCACACCUUCUCCGAUUCCUUCUCCCCAGAUGGGCUGCCUGCAGGGUCGACCAGAGGGAAGGGGUGCCCAGGCCCUUCGACAGCCGUAGCUCUGCGGGAGCCUUGAUAAUAAGCAUCUUGGUUUACACAUCAGCCCAUUCACCGCCCCCCCCCCAAAAAAACAGGGUUCCUCUUCCUGGCCUGACUCCCCAGGCUUCUGAACCUGAGAUUUUAAUAAAAUCAUUAUUCUUGUCGCAGGUAUCAGUGGCUCGCUCUGUCUGCGCCAGGCACAAUGGGAAACAGGGAACCCUACAUGCAAGAAUUUGGAGUGACGCAAGGAAUUUUAGUGUAUUCCAGGUUCUAAGAAGUCUUGCAUGAAAGAAAUCUGUUCAGUGUUAUUUAAACCAGCGUCACCGAAAUUCACUUGACGAUGAGACAAUUUUUACAGAAAACUUGUUAGCAUAUAGCAGUAUUUCCUGCAGCCAAGCAUUUAUUACACCUGUAAGAGGGCUGUACACGGUGCCAGGCCCUGGCCAUGCACUUUUUCAGGUAAUCCCGACAAAGAUCUCUGCCGGACAUGAGCGCCAGGCUCUGAGAAGUCCGGUGCUCUUCCCCUAUGGCUGCAAAGUCCCUUGUUGCCUCUCAACUACAAACCUGCAUUUGGAUUUUCCCCUGCUUUUACUGCAGCUCAAAGGCCAUGAUUCCUGGAGGGAGAAAGGGGAAAGCCUCUGCCUGCCAGCCUGCACCGUCGCUGACGGUUGGAUUUGCAAAUCUGGCCACAGGGACUGUUCACUUCCACAUUAGACAUCAACUCCCUCAACUGGGCCUCCUUAAAUAGAGCUAUGGGGGGGGGGCAGAAAUGGCAUGGUUAGAAAGAUGUUACCCCAUGCUCUCUAGGUACCCCCCUUCGCCCCGCCCCUUAAUGGGUAUGUCCUGGAUUUGUGAAGCCAAAGUUCUCGGCCUGCAAUUUAGAGACGCUGCCACCAGACGGCGAGCUGGACCAAGAUAAUGACCAAGUGAGGCCCGGGGACUGGCUCUGGUAGAGCGUCAGAGGUUGCUGUUUUAGGUUCCCCCUCAGGUUGUACUUGAUUAUAAGAGAAAUUAUGAAGAUGGUUCUGAGUCCCUCUGAGCAAUCGGGACUGCAUAAAGGAUGAAUAACUCUUCCACCAUGUGAAUUAAUGCUACUUAAGAUCUGGUCCCUGUACCUCUUUGAAACUUUUAAGAAUCACUGUGAAUUCCACCAUCUAGGGACUUCAGGAGCACAAAGAACAAGGAACAGUGUGGAAACAGCACCAAUGGGAUAAAGGACUUAA